This 497-nucleotide ribosomal RNA is filed under the name uncultured bacterium. Its description in RNAcentral is "partial 16S ribosomal RNA". It matches the Rfam family "Bacterial small subunit ribosomal RNA", at positions 28 to 507 of the family's 1533-position model. The record is from RNAcentral.
GAUGAACGCUGGCGGCGUGCCUAAUACAUGCAAGUCGAACGAACAGACGAGGAGCUUGCUCCUCUGACGUUAGCGGCGGGCGGGUGUGUAACACGUGUAUAACCCACCUAUAUGACUGGGAUAACUUCGGGAAACCGGAACUAAUACCGGAUAAUCUAUUGAACCGCAUGGUUCAAUAGUGAAAGACGGUUUUGCUGUCACUUAUAGCUGGAUCCGCGCGGCAUUAGCUAGUUGGUAAGGUAACGGCUUACCAAGGCGACGAUGCGUAGCCGACCUGAGAGGGUGAUCGGCCACACUGGAACUGAGACACGGUCCAGACUCCUACGGGAGGCAGCAGUAGGGAAUCUUCCGCAAUGGGCGAAAGCCUGACGGAGCAACGCCGCGUGUGUGAUGAAGGUCUUCGGAUCGUAAAACUCUGUUAUUAGGGAAGAACAGAUGUGUAAGUAACUAUGCACUUAUUGACGGUACCUGAUGAGAAAGCCACGGCUAACUACGUG